RNAcentral lists this long non-coding RNA (1727 nucleotides) under Solanum tuberosum (potato). Its description in RNAcentral is "long non-coding RNA (STUB_LNC002408)". The stretch from base 1078 to 1149 matches the Rfam family "tRNA". Lineage: Eukaryota; Viridiplantae; Streptophyta; Magnoliopsida; Solanales; Solanaceae. The record is from RNAcentral.
UCGUCAUUUGUGUUCUAAGUAGAAAAUUGUGAUAUUGAAAAAUAGAAAAUUGUUGAUUAAGUUGGAUACCUCUAGUAAUUCUCUUAGAUUCUGCCAUUGGAGCGUGAUUUAGAGUUUAUCGAAUCCUAAACGUGAUUUCAACUACAGACAACAAUUUUAAACAAAAAUAAAAUCAUAAAAUAAAUCUUAAAAAACGAAUAAAGAUGCAUACCUCAAUAAAAGGGAUUGUGUGAAUAUCUUUAUAAAUAUAUUUUUCAAUUUCUGGAAAAAAAAAAGGAAGAGAGGCAGAUUUUGAAAUGGAGAAGAAUUGGAAGAUGUAAAUAUGUUGCAAAAAAAGAAAAAGAAAAAAAGAAGAAGAUGAAAAUAUGAGAGAGAGAAAAUAUUCCCUUUAUUUUAAACAUCUGAUAGAGGAUUAAUUGGGAAAUGUGUAAUUAAGGUAAGAUAAAAUAGGAAGUAAAUUAGGAUACACAAGCUUUUCUAAAAUAAUGACAUUUUGACAUUUUUAUUAAUAUUUAUAAAGUAUGAAGGUUUUUACUAAUUAAGUUAACUUUUUGACUAGUUUGCUAAUUUUUCCAUAAAGAAGGUACUAAAAAAGAACUGGAAGUAAGAGAACCCAGCAAAAAGCCCAUGUUGAACUAUGAAUACUCCUUAGUGGAGCUUUUGCUUGCUUCAGCUGUGCCUUAACUCGAUCUAUGUAAUAUUAAUCCAACUAAUGCCAGAGACCUGGCCUCAUGUCCAAUGACAGUUCUUAAUCACUAGACAUAUCUCAUGGAUUUUGGAUUCCAGAUGGCCAGAGGGUUGAGUUGAUAGCAUAGGAUUGUAAAUAUUCAAGUUACAGACUUACAGUAACAACCAAAGCUGAGAGCGCCUUUAGGCAUCAAGUGCAGUAAGAAUCAGAGGAACAGCAGAAGCAUAUUAAAGUACUCAAGAACAUUUAAGCAAGAAAUGAAGAUCAUCUGGUGUAAAAUAAGGAGUAUUUGAAUUCUGCAUUACAGAUAAGCAAUGACAUUUGGGAUCAAAUAACUCAAAAGGGGAAAACACAUUUGCUUAGCACUCAAAUAAGACAAUGCCAACAAUGGGCAUUUGGUCUAGUGGUAUGAUUCUCGCUUUGGGUGCGAGAGGUCCCGAGUUCGAUUCUCGGAAUGCCCCAAAUUUUUAAGUGCCUUUUUUCAAGCCUGUACUCCUGAUGGUUAUAAAGGAUUUGAAGGCAAAUGUAGGAUAUCCGUUUAAUACUUUGCUGAACAUUCAAUAGUGAGAUUUGUGUUCUGGAAACUGCAGUAAGCACAUCAUGCAUUUAUGAAUUUGGUAGGAUUCCAAUGAUUAAUGGUUAUUCAUCUUAGACAGUUAAAAUUAAUUAGUUUAGUAAUCCAAACAGUUCUAGAACUGAUUCUUCUUUCUAGUGUAUUUUAGUAAACCACAUAUAUUGCUUGACUUGCACCUCUUUCCAGUCUCCUGUUCAGUAAAUAUUCUGAUGUAAAGUCAGCCAAGUCAAUCAGCCAAAAGUCAUUUUUUUUCAGAUAACAACAUUUAGGCCAAGAUGCAUCCUUAUCAAAUAAAGAAAAUGGAAUGGCAAGAUUUGAUGCUCUGAAAGCUAAUCUUUUCAGAACUACAAGAUAAAAAUAACAAAGCACGAGUGCUGGUAGUAGAUGGAUUUGUGCUCACCUCUCUAGUUUACAAGUAAGCCGAUCGGAACUCCAAAAUUCAACAUAGAAUUACCAAGAAAUCCC